Molecule: ribosomal RNA, 254 nt
Filed under: uncultured bacterium
Lineage: Bacteria
Description: partial 16S ribosomal RNA
Rfam family: Bacterial small subunit ribosomal RNA
Source: RNAcentral
UACGGGGGGGGGCAAGCGUUGUUCGGAAUUACUGGGCGUAACGGGCUCGUAGGUGGCCAACUAAGUCAGACGUGAAAUCCCUCAGCUUAACUGGGGAACUGCGUCUGAUACUGGAUGGCUUGAGAUUGGGAGAGGGAUGCGGAAUUCCAGGUGUAGCGGUGAAAUGCGUAGAUAUCUGGAGGAACACCGGUGGCGAAGGCGGCAUCCUGGACCAACACUGACACUGAGGAGCGAAAGCCAGGGGAGCAAACGGG